AGCAGCCGCGGUAAUUCCAGCUCCAAUAGCGUAUAUUAAAGUUGUUGCAGUUAAAAAGCUCGUAGUUGAAUUUCGGGAUUGACGUGACGGUCGUGCCUUAAGGGGUAUGAACUGUCGCAGUUGAUUUCUCACCUUCUGGAGAAGCAUGAUGUCCUUAAUUGGGUGUCAUGUGGAACCAGGACCUUUACCUUGAAAAAAUUAGAGUGUUUAAAGCAGGCAUUUUGCUCGAAUACAUUAGCAUGGAAUAAUAGAAUAGGACGGCAUGGUUCUAUUUUGUUGGUUUCUAGGAUCACCGUAAUGAUUAAUAGGGAUAGUUGGGGGCAUUAGUAUUCAAUUGUCAGAGGUGAAAUUCUUGGAUUUAUUGAAGACUAACUACUGCGAAAGCAUUUGCCAAGGAUGUUUUCAUUAAUCAAGAACGAAAGUUAGGGGAUCGAAGACGAUCAGAUACCGUCGUAGUCUUAACCAUAAACUAUGCCGACUAGGAAUCAGACGAUGUUAAUUUUUAAUGACUCGUUUG
This 517-nucleotide ribosomal RNA is filed under the name uncultured Entrophospora. RNAcentral describes it as "SSU rRNA". It matches the Rfam family "Eukaryotic small subunit ribosomal RNA", at positions 569 to 1082 of the family's 1831-position model. Lineage: Eukaryota; Fungi; Glomeromycota; Glomeromycetes; Entrophosporales; Entrophosporaceae. The record is from RNAcentral.